GCGAGCGUAUAAUGUGAGAGUCUGAGUGUGUGAGUUCGAGUGAUUACUAGCAACAAGACUAGCCUGUGAUUUACUUGGAUUGAACCACAUCCAAACAUGAGGUACCUUGCCCUUCAAGGGGUCUGCUGUGCCAGGUAUAGACAGAACAUGAUGAAGACCUGCAAAUUAUUCGCUUGAUGGCUUCAACACAGUUUGGACGUUCAAAGGACACAAAAUGAAUCCGGCAAGGACUCCAAGAUCUCCGACGUCAGAAGUCGAUCGAUGCAUUUGUGUACAGGCUUGAUUUUGAAAGAGCCAUCAGCUUGACAGUACACGAAGCAAAGCAUGUAGCAUUGUUUAAUAUAAUUAAUAGAGUGAUCCUUGAAAAGAUUAUUUUUGGAUUUUAACCGGCAUUUAAAAAAAUCUUAGCAUUCUAGUACAAUUAUAAAGGGUACCUGUGACCAUAAAUUCAGUUUGACUUUUGAAUUUGAGCAGAAGCCACUAAUAAUCGCUGACGAUUAAAAAUCGCUGUGAAAAAUGAAAUGUUACAUGUGCCUUUUAAACAGUAUUGCCAUUGUAACAGGGAAAUGAAGAACAAUCGUAGCUUUGUACGUCGAUGCUCCUGAAACAAUGUAAACUUUGGCAGAAAAAUUCUUCGAAUAUUGAAAAUAAAAAAAGUGACAAAUCAUUUGGAAUUCUAUUAAAAAUCAGUAAGUAAUUAUUCCCAAUGUGCACUCAUUAGUCAUUACUUA
Molecule: long non-coding RNA, 731 nt
Organism: Neodiprion virginianus
Lineage: Eukaryota; Metazoa; Arthropoda; Insecta; Hymenoptera; Diprionidae
Exons: 3
Source: RefSeq, a predicted model, not a curated record